Molecule: ribosomal RNA, 642 nt
Filed under: Holtermanniella wattica
Lineage: Eukaryota; Fungi; Basidiomycota; Tremellomycetes; Holtermanniales
Description: LSU rRNA
Rfam family: Eukaryotic large subunit ribosomal RNA
Source: RNAcentral
GCAUAUCAAUAAGCGGAGGAAAAGAAACUAACAAGGAUUCCCCUAGUAACGGCGAGUGAAGCGGGAUGAGCUCAAAUUUGUAAUCUGGUGGACUCAGUUCAUCCGAGUUGUAAUCUAUAGAAGUGUUUUCCGCGCUGGACCGUGUCUAAGUCCCUUGGAACAGGGUGUCAGAGAGGGUGAGAAUCCCGUGCUUGAUACGACCACCAGUGCUAUGUGAUACACUUUCAACGAGUCGAGUUGUUUGGGAAUGCAGCUCAAAAUGGGUGGUAAAUUCCAUCUAAAGCUAAAUAUUGGCGAGAGACCGAUAGCGAACAAGUACCGUGAGGGAAAGAUGAAAAGCACUUUGGAAAGAGAGUUAAACAGUACGUGAAAUUGUUAAAAGGGAAACGAUUGAAGUCAGUCGUGCUCUCUGGGACUCAGCCGGUUCUUCCGGUGUACUUCCCAGUGAGCGGGUCAACAUCAGUUUAGAUCGCUGGAUAAAGGUAUUAGGAAGGUGGCUCCCUCGGGAGUGUUAUAGCCUAGUAUCGCAUACAGUGGUUUAGACUGAGGAACGCAGCUCGCCUUUAUGGCCGGGGUUCGCCCACGUCCGAGCUUAGGAUGUUGACAUAAUGGCUUUAAACGACCCGUCUUGAAACACGGACC